RNAcentral lists this ribosomal RNA (465 nucleotides) under uncultured bacterium. Its description in RNAcentral is "partial 16S ribosomal RNA". It matches the Rfam family "Bacterial small subunit ribosomal RNA", at positions 338 to 795 of the family's 1533-position model. The record is from RNAcentral.
CCUACGGGAGGCAGCAGUAGGGAAUCUUACACAAUGGGCGAAAGCCUGAUGGAGCAACGCCGCGUGGGUGAAGAAGGUCUUCGGAUCGUAAAACCCUGUUGUUAGAGAAGAAAGUGCGUGAGAGUAACUGUUCACGUUUCGACGGUAUCUAACCAGAAAGCCACGGCUAACUACGUGCCAGCAGCCGCGGUAAUACGUAGGUGGCAAGCGUUAUCCGGAUUUAUUGGGCGUAAAGGGAACGCAGGCGGUCUUUUAAGGCUGAUGUGAAAGCCUUCGGCCUAACCGGAGUAGUGCAUUGGAAACUGGGAGACUGGAGUGCAGCAGAGGAGAGUGGAACUCCAUGUGUAGCGGUGAAAUGCGUAGAUAUAUGGAAGAACACCAGUGGCGAAAGCGGCUCUCUGGUCUGUAACUGACGCUGAGGUUCGAAAGCGUGGGUAGCAAACAGGAUUAGAUACCCUAGUAGUC